UGCAGAUCUGCCCACAACAACAGUGGCCUUGCAGAGGAAUGUGGGAACCACGGGCGGACACCACCCAGCCACAGGUCAGGGUGGGAGCAGUGACAUGGAGCACACAAUGACAGAUCCGGUGCCAACAACACAGGUCUCCAGGAUGGAUACUGCUCCAGUCAGGCCUUUCACAGACACAGGUGAGUGGAGUGUCAUGCUGAAAAACACCAGAUUUGCACUGGCAAGGGCACGGUGGCAAACACCAUCCCACACCAGCUCCACAUCUGGCUGCUGUGCUUGUGGCUGCAGGGAACAAAUCCCCUGGCAUGCCAAAUACCAGGCGUUAUCCAGGCAGGAGCUGCGCUCCUGACACCCGCCCACACGCUUGUUUUUGGGGGUGUUUGCAGCCUGAAGUUUGCUGUUUGUCUCCAUGCAGAGACGCCCCAUCCCUGUAAGUGUUCAAGGCCGGGUUGGACGGGGCUUGGAGCAAGCUGGUUGGUGGAAGGUGUCCCUGCCCAUGGCAGGGCGUGGGACGAGAUGGGCUUUAAGAUCCCUUCCAAACUAAACCAUCUCGGCAUUCUGUGACUGUCGGGGAGUGGCAGAAGCCCCAGGUGGCCCCGGCGCCUUCUCGGGUGCCUGCUGUUUGGGGGGCCGGCCCGUGUGUCAGCGCUGUCCCCCCGCAGGUUCCCCGCUGCUGUACGGGCCGGCGGCCGCGCUGGGCGGCGCCGCGCUGGGCGCGCUGCUGGCGGCGGCGCUGGGCUGCUGGCGGCGGCGGAGGAAGGACGGUGAGUAGCGACAAACCCAGCCGGGGACGGGCGUGGGGACAGCCCCGGGAGGAAGGGACAGCCCCGGGAGGAGGGGACAGCCCCGGGAGGAGGGGACAGCCCCGGGAGGAGGGGACGGGGCGGGCCGGCGGGCGGGACAGUCCCAUCCCCGUCACUCUCAUCACCGUCGCUCCCGUCCCCAGUUGAUCCCUUCCAGGGAGAAGCCUGUGGGAGGGUUUUCCCCUAAACGUUGAACACUGGGAAGCUGCGUUUUGUUCUGUGACACAUAAAACAAGUCGAUGCAUAUCUUAGAUUUUUUUUAUUUUUUUUUUUUUUUUCAGAACGUCUCUAUGAAGUUGCUUUGUGAGUGCAAUUUUCUACUUGGUACUUGGGACGUUAAGACUGAGGGCAGGGUGCUGGUAUCUGCUCCUAAAAAGCCUCCUUGCUUAGUGAAAAGCAAAGGUUUAUUUGCCUUACGGGGGAGUAUCUGAAAACCUUAGUUAGCAACAUGAGGGCUUAACACAGGGUCACAGGAGAUAGACAGACAA
RNAcentral lists this long non-coding RNA (1291 nucleotides) under Parus major (Great Tit). RNAcentral describes it as "lncRNA (ENSPMJG00000007995.1)". Lineage: Eukaryota; Metazoa; Chordata; Aves; Passeriformes; Paridae. The record is from RNAcentral.